This 781-nucleotide ribosomal RNA is filed under the name uncultured Neocallimastigales. RNAcentral describes it as "partial large subunit ribosomal RNA". It matches the Rfam family "Eukaryotic large subunit ribosomal RNA", at positions 22 to 656 of the family's 3401-position model. Lineage: Eukaryota; Fungi; Neocallimastigomycota; Neocallimastigomycetes; Neocallimastigales. The record is from RNAcentral.
UAGAUGCGAGAGUAGAGCAUAUCAAUAAGCGGAGGAAAAGAAACUAACAAGGAUUCCCUUAGUAACGGCGAGUGAAGCGGGAAGAGCUCAAAUUUGAAAUCUUCAAGGUUCUACCUUGACGAAUUGUAGUUUAUAGAAGUGUUUUCUGUUAGUGGAGUGGCAAAAGUUCUUUGGAAUAGGACAUCAUAGAGGGUGAGAAUCCCGUAUUUGGUCAUUCCUCCUAGCGUUGUGAUACACUUUCAACGAGUCGGAUUGUUUGGGAAUGCAGUCCAAAAUGGGUGGUAAAUUUCAUCUAAAGCUAAAUAUUGGCGAGAGACCGAUAGCGAACGAGUACCGUGAGGGAAAGAUGAAAAGAACUUUGAAAAGAGAGUUAAACAGUACGUGAAAUUGUCAAAAGGGAAGCGUUUGACACCAGUGUUGUUUUUCCGAAAAUCAAUUACGAAUGUUUUGUUUUGAAGAAGUUAUGACUUCAUCGGCUUGCUCCUUUCUUUACGAAACUUUCUUAAUGCACUUUUCGGUUAACAAGUCAAACAUACAUCAAUUUCUUUUGUUGUAAAAGGGUAUGAGGAAGGUGGCUUUCUUUUCGGAGAAAGUGUUUAUAGCCUUGUGCCUCUAGCAAUCGGAGAGAUUGAGGUCUGCAGCGUAGAUCCUUCGGGGUUAGAUACAGUUUGUGCUAAGUUAUAGCUUUUCAUAGACAACUUGUUGACUAUGUUUAGUCUUGUAGCUUACUCGCUUAUGCUAUUUUACCUACGCUUAGGAUGUUGACACACGCGCGUGCUCG